RNAcentral lists this ribosomal RNA (579 nucleotides) under uncultured bacterium. Its description in RNAcentral is "bacterial SSU rRNA". It matches the Rfam family "Bacterial small subunit ribosomal RNA", at positions 163 to 774 of the family's 1533-position model. The record is from RNAcentral.
CUAAUACCGCAUAACACUUACGAGUCAAAGCAGCAAUGCGCUUGAGGAGGGGGUCGCGGCAGAUUAGCUAGUUGGCGGGGUAACGGCCCACCAAGGCGAAGAUCGGUAUCCGGCCUGAGAGGGUGCACGGACACACUGGAACUGAAACACGGUCCAGACUCCUACGGGAGGCAGCAGUGGGGAAUUUUGCGCAAUGGGGGAAACCCUGACGCAGCAACGCCGCGUGGAGGAUGAAAUCCCUUGGGAUGUAAACUCCUUUCGAUCGGGACGAUUAUGACGGUACCGGAAGAAGAAGCCCCGGCUAACUUCGUGCCAGCAGCCGCGGUAAUACGAGGGGGGCGAGCGUUGUUCGGAAUUAUUGGGCGUAAAGGGUGCGUAGGCGGUUUGAUAAGUCUGAUGUGAAAUCUAUGGGCUCAACCCAUAGUCUGCAUUAGAAACUGUCGGGCUUGAGUAUGGGAGAGGUGAGUGGAAUUUCCGGUGUAGCGGUGAAAUGCGUAGAUAUCGGAAGGAACACCUGUGGCGAAAGCGGCUCACUGGACCAUUACUGACGCUGAUGCACGAAAGCUAGGGGAGCAAACA